Molecule: non-coding RNA, 73 nt
Organism: Gracilariopsis chorda
Lineage: Eukaryota; Rhodophyta; Florideophyceae; Gracilariales; Gracilariaceae
Source: the annotation of a GenBank genome assembly
GUACCUAUGGUGUAGUGGUCAUCACGCCAGACUUUGAAUCUGGAGAUCGCGAGUUCAAACCUCGCUAGGUACU